RNAcentral lists this ribosomal RNA (253 nucleotides) under uncultured bacterium. RNAcentral's name for it is "partial 16S ribosomal RNA". It matches the Rfam family "Bacterial small subunit ribosomal RNA", at positions 524 to 776 of the family's 1533-position model. The record is from RNAcentral.
UACAGAGGGGGCAAGCGUUGUUCGGAAUUACUGGGCGUAAAGGGCGCGUAGGCGGCCUGUUAAGUCGAACGUGAAAUCCCCGGGCUCAACCCGGGAACUGCGUCCGAUACUGGCAGGCUUGAAUCCGGGAGAGGGAUGCGGAAUUCCAGGUGUAGCGGUGAAAUGCGUAGAUAUCUGGAGGAACACCGGUGGCGAAGGCGCCCACCUGGCCUGCUACUGACGCUGAAGCUCGAAAGCUAGGGGAGCAAACGGG